Long non-coding RNA from Callithrix jacchus (white-tufted-ear marmoset), 42395 nucleotides. RefSeq lists it as uncharacterized. The record is from RefSeq and is a predicted model, not a curated record. NCBI's taxonomy places the organism in Eukaryota, Metazoa, Chordata, Mammalia, Primates, Cebidae.
UUUUCUAUGUUUUUCUGGUCUAUAAAAAUACAGUUGAGUUUUGAAUAUGAUCUCGUUAUCUAGGGAUCUUGCUAAAUUUGAAUUCUAAUUUGCCUGUCACUUCUUUUUCCUUGAGUUUUUUAUGUAGUCAGUCAAAUCAAUUGUAAAUGACACAUUUGUUUCCUCCUUUCCAAUUGUUACGUGCUUAGAAAAGAGUUUUCCUUGCCUUCUUUUGCUGGCUAAGCUCCUCCAGUUGAUGUUGAAUAGAAGCUGUGAGCACAGAUGUCUUUGUUAUGUUCUGAUUUUUAAAGGGGACUGUUUUUAGACAUUUUUGCAUUGUGUGUGAAGUUUGCUUGGGUCUUUUUGCUCAACUUAUUAGGUUGGGCAAGUUUCUUUGUAUUCUUAAUUUGCUAAGACUUAACAAAUGUUUUUUUAUCAAAGAUACUUUUCCAGUUUUUUUAUUGUGAAGAAAUAUACAUGACAUAAGAAACAUAAGAUUUUCCAUCUUAACCAUUCUUUUUUUUUUUUUUUUGGAAGGGGUCUGUCACUCUGCCACCCAGGAUGGAGUACAGUGGGGCAAUCUCUGCUCAUUGCAACCCCUGCCUCCUGGGCUCAAGUGAUUCUUGUGCCUCAGCCACCCAAGUAGCUGGGAUUACAGGCACGUGCUACCACGCCAGGCUAAUUUUUGCAUUUCUAGUAGAGACAGGGUUUCACCAUGUUGGCCAGGCUGGUCUCAAACUCCUGGCCUCAAGUGAUCAGCUGCUUCAGCCUCUCAGUGCUGGCGUUGCAGGUGUUAACCACCAUGUUUGGCCGUUACCAUUUUUAGGUGUGUAGUUCAGAGGUAUUAGGUACAUCCAUACCAUUGUGCAACCGUCACCACCAUCUGUCUCCAGAUCUCUUCCAUUUGGCAAAACAGAAGCUCUAUGCCCACUAAACACUAAUUCCUCAUUCUACCCCACCCCCUGGCAACAGCAUUCCAACUUCCUGCCUCUAUGAGUGGGACUAGUGCCUCAUACAAGGGAAUCCUAUGGUAUUCGUCGUUCUGGGAUUGGUUUCUUUCAUUUAGCAUAAGCUCCUCAAGACUUGCUUAUGUUGUAGCACAUGUCAGAAAUGCCUUCCUUUGCAAAGGUGAGAUUCCAUACAGAUUCUCUGUGUGCACCAAAUUUCACUUACUCUCUCAUCCGUCGGUGGACACUUGGAUUUCUUCCAUGUUUUAGCUUUUGUGAAUGGGUGUACGCGUACUUUUUGAGAGUCUUCUUUCACUUCUUUUGACUACAUGAUCUGAAGUCAGGUUGCUGCAUCAUGUGGUAGUUCUAUGCUUAAUCUUCUGAGGAGCCACCUUAUUGCUUUCCACGGCGGCUGCCCUGUUACAUUCCCAUCAACCGUGUACAAGGUUUCGAUUGCUCUAUGUCCUCAGCAACACAUGUUAUUUUCGCCUUUCUUUUGGUGGUAGCCAUCCCAAUAUAUGUGAGGUGGUAUCUCCUUAGGGUUGUGAUUUGUAUUUCCCUAAUAGUGACCGUGAGCAUCUUGCCCUCUGCUUACUGGCCAUUUUAAUGUCUUCUUGAGAUAACAUCGAUUAAAGUUAUUUGCCCGUUUUAAAAUUGGGUUGUUUUUAUCGCUGAGCUUUAGGCGUUCUCUCUGUGUUCUGGAUAACAAUGCCUUAGCAGAUAGAUCUAAUCUGAAAUAAUUUCUCCCAUUCUGGGGAUUGCCUUCCUACUUUGUUGAUAGAGUCUUUUAAUGCACAAAAUCUCAAAAUUGUUACGAAUUAAAGUCCAAUUUGUUGAUUUUUUUCCUUUUGUUGCCUGUGCAGUUAUUUGUGGAUCCUGGAUAUUAGCCCCUUGUCAGAUGGAAGAUUGCAAAACUUUUCUCCCAUUCUGGUUGCUGGCUCACUCUACUGAUAGUUUCUUUUGCUGUGCAGAAGCGCUGAAAUUUAAUUAGAUCCCAUUCAUCUAUUUUGACUUUUGUUGCCAUUGCUUUCGGUGUUUUAGUCAUGAAGCCCUUGCCUGUGCCUAUGCCUAUGCCCUGAAUGGUAUUGCCUAGGUUUUCCUCUAGAGAUUUUAUGGUGUUAGACCGCAUGUUUAAAUCUUUAAUCAAUCUGGAGUUGAUUUUUGUAUAAUGUGUAAAGAAAAAAUUCAGUUUCAGCUUUUUUCAUAUGGCUAACCUGUUUUCCCAGCACCAUUUAUAAAAUAGGGAAUCCUUUCCACAUUGCUUGUUUUUGUCAGGUUUGUUAAAGAUCAGAUGGUUGCAGUUGUGUGGCAUUAUUUCUGAGGUCUUUGUUCUGUUCCGUUGGUCUAUAUUUCUGUUUUGGUACCAGUACCGUGCUGUUUUAAUUAUUGUAGCCUUGUAAUAUAGUUUGAAGUCAGGUAGCGUGGUGCCUCCAGCCUUGUUCUUUUUGAUUAGGAUUGUCUUGGCUAUACAAGCUCUUUUUUGGUUCUAUAUGAAGUUUAAGGUGUUUUUUUCCAAUUUUGUGAAGCAAGUCAUUGGUAGCUUGAUGUGGAUAGCAUUGAAUCUUUAAAUUACUUUGAGCAGUAUGGCCAUUUUCAUACUGAUUCUUGCUAACCAUGAGCAUGGAAUGUUUUUCCAUCUGUUUGUGUCUUCUCUUAUUUCCUUGAGCAGUGGUUUGUAGUUCUCCUUGAAGGGGUCCUUCACAUCCCUUGUUAAUUAUAUUCCUAGGUAUUUUAUUCUCUUUGUAGCAAUUGUGAUUGUGAAUGGGAACUCACUCAUGAUUUAGUUCUCUGUUUGUCUAUUAUUGGUGUAUAGAAAUGCUUGCAAUUUUUGUGCAGUGAUUUUGUAUUCUGAGACUUUGCUGAAGUUGCUUAUCAGCUGAAGGAGAUUUAGGGCUGAGAUGAUGGGGUUUUCUAAAUAUACCAUCAUGUCAUCUGUGAGCAGGGUCUUUUUAGGUUCUCUAUAUCUUUGUUGAUAUUUCCAUUUGGUUCAUAAAUUGUUUUCUUCACUUCCUCCACAUUUUCCUGCAGUUCUUCGAGCAUCUUUAGGACAGUAGUUUUAAAGUAUUUGUUCAGUAUGUCUACCAUCAGUUCUUUUUCAAGGACAGCUUUUGCUGAUUAUUUUUCCUUUGAAUGGGAAUAACUUCUUAUUUUUUUGUAUGCCUUGUAAUUUUUUUGUUGAAAACUGGAACUUUAAAUAUAAUAAUAUGAUAACUCUGGAAAUCAGUUAUUUCCCCUUCCCUAGGACUUGCUGUUUUUUUGUUAUUCUUGUUCUUUUUGAUUGUUAUAAGGCAUCUCUGUACCAAGGAUCAACCUGAAGUGUAAACUCAAGAUCUCCUCAGGUCUUUUCUGAGUCUCUGCCUUUCCCUGGGUAUGUUCAGGACUGUCUGUACCUCCCCUUAUAUGUGGCUGCUUUUAAAUGCCUUAGUCUUCAAUGCCUAGCUCCUAAGUGGGGAAGAAGAAUAAAACCAAGGGUAGGGUGGGAAGGGUGCCAGCCCUUUAAAUGCCGUGGAAGUCACUUUGGUCAAAUGGGAGGGGCUUACAACAAGGUGGUGAGGGCUCGGGAGUGCCACAGUGGCCACUACCUGCGCCUGCAUCUCUGUGAUCAGGAGGAACAAUCAGAGCACUCAUCUCAGAUAUUUGGAGGACAGGAUCUUUUUGUCCACUCUGGCAUCCACUAGUUGUGUGCUCCAGGAACAUGUGCACAGCUGCCUGUGCUGCUGGGGGCUGGGACUGGUAGUUUGUACUAAGGGUAGCUAAGAGCUAGAAUUGACUGAAGCAAUGUAAAUGUAAAUGUAAUUGCAAUUGAGUGUCCAAAGUUAAUGUAACUGCAAUUGAAUGUCCAAAUCUUUCCUUUGAAGAUACAGGCCUUCAAUAGACCCCAGAGUUCCAAAAUAGCAACAUCAGAGAGAUUCUGCCAGUGCAACUGUCAUCUUGGCUGAGGGACAGAUUUCUGGUGCUUCCUAUUCUAUUCUCCUAUCUUCCCAGAACCUUUGCUGAGAAUUUUUAACUCAUGAGGUAUUGAUUUUUAUCAGAUGCCUUUUUUUUGCAUCUGUUGAUAAUGUUGGCUUUUUCUUUUAUCCAUUAUGCGGUAAACUACAGCCAACAAUUUUAAACCAACGUUGCAUUUCUGAGAAAACCCUGCUUUGCCAUGCUAUCAGUUUUUGUUUUUGUUCUUUGUUUUUUUUUUUCUCAGACAGAGUCUCAUUCUGUCACCAGACUGGAGUGAAGUGCUGUGAUCUUGGUUCACUGCAACCUCUGCCUCCCAGGUUCAAACCGUUCUCCUUCCUCAGCCUCCUAAGUAACUGGGAUUACAGGCGUGUGCCACCACACCCAGCUAAUUUUGCAUUUUUAGUAGAGAUAGGGUUUCAUCAUGUUGGCCAGGAUGGUCUUGAUCUCCUGACCUAGUUAUCUACCCACGUUGGCCUCCCAAAGUGCUGGGAUUACAGGUGUGAGCCCCCGUGCCCGGUCACCAUGCUGUCACUUUUUAAGUACUGCAUUCAAAUUCCUAAAAUCUGAUUUCACGUUUGUAUUUUUGAGUGAGCUUGCGUUGGAAGUCAUGUAGGCUCGAUACCAGUGUUUUACCAUCCUGGUAAUGCAAGUGCUUACAUGCACUGGAGAAGCUGUGCAAUUGUCGAGGACUUUCACCUGAUAUGCCACCUGACUAGAAAGUGCAUGUGACACCAUCUGGGCCUGGAGCUUUUUAUGUGAAAAGAUGUUAACUUUUAAUUCAAUUUAAUUUUAACUGUUAUGAGAAAAUCUGAGCCAUCGUUCUUAGGCAAGCUUUUCAAAUGGACUGCAACAUACAUAUGGAAAAAUGUCCAGUUAAUGAGUUAGCGCUUCAGGAACCUCCACAGUGAGCACACUCAUAUGGUCGGCAUGCAGGUCGGUCCCAUUGUAGCCCCUCCUGUCUCCACCUGUGUGUGAGCGUUUUAUCAAAUGCUUCUCUGAACUUACUGAAAUGGUCAUGGGUUUUCUCCUUUACUAUGUUAAUGUGGUGAAAUACAAAUGAUAGAUUAACCUUGCAUUUCGGGAAUAAGCCCAACUUGAACAUUCGAUUACUCUUCAGAUAGACUGCUGAAUUUGAUUUGCUAAUAUUUUCUUUACUGUAUUUGCAUUUAUGCUCAUGAGAAAGAAUGACCUCUAAUUUUCCCUUCUCAAAAUGUCCUUUUCAGGUUUGGGAAGCAACGUUAUGAUGGCCCAAUGAAAUGAGUUGGUGCAUCUGUAUAUUUGUUUCUUUCAAUUGCAAGGAGUUGAGCACCCAGACUUCAUAGUGACUUAAAAAGCCAAAGAAUUAUUUCAUGUGACAAGUAGAGAGGGAGCUGGUGCCAGGGCUGAUUCAGUGGCUCAUUGCUGUCAUCCAGGGCCCAGGCUCUGUCCAUCUUUUCUAUCUUCCACUCUGGGUGUGUUGGCCUCUUGUCUUUGGGCUUGCUGCCUCAUGCUUGCAAAAUGGCUGCCUCAGCUCCAGGUUCUGUUUCCCACACUAUCUCCCCCCACUGUCAUGUUCAGAGACAAGAUCACAGGCAAGCAGCAAAUAGAUUGCUUGAGAAGAGAGGCGAUGGUGGAGAGAGAGAGAGAGAGAGAGAGAGAGAGAGUCAGAGAGAGAGACAGAGACAGAGAGAGACAGAGACAGAGAGAGAGAGAGACAGAGACAGAGACAGAGAGAGAGACAGAGACAGAGAGAGACAGAGAGACAGAGAGAGACAGAGACAGAGAGAGACAGAGAGAGAGAGACAGAGAGAGAAAGAUGCAUCUUGGCUUCUUUCUUUUUAUCACAGAGGAAACAUGAGUCCACAGAAGAUUUUCCUAAUGUCUCAUUGGCCAGUACUGGGCUGUAUGUCCACAUGUGAACCAAUCACUUCAAAAGGAAUUAGGUUCCUGAGACUGGUCUGAGCCAAUUUGUAAUGCACCCUCACCCCUUUGGGUUAGGCUGUAGUUGUGUGAACGCUAGUGAGGUUUGCUGGCCAGGAAAAGGAGAAAUGCCUGUUGCUACCUUUAUUCGUCACACUCAUGUCUUAGAAAUUUAGCAGGCUGGUAACUAGCAAGCACUGGUCCAUGUUUCAGGACCUGAUUUAUACCUGUGAACUGGGCUCCUCAAAAUAGCGAGGAACUUUUCCAGGAGUGGAGAUAGGUGAUGCUAUUUAAUUAUGUUAGUAAAGUAGAAGUGUGUAAAAACAACUGACCAAGGCCUGUGCCCCUAAGCUGAAGCAGGCUGAAAAACAAGAUGUCCCAUACCUCUUUUUUUUUUUUUCUUGAGACAGAGUUUUGCUCUUGUGGCUCAGUCUGGAGUGCAAUGGCACCAUCUUGGCUCACCCCAACCUCCACCUCCCGGGUUCAAGCAAUUCUCCUGCCUCAGCCUCCCAAGUAGCUGGGAUUAUAGGCAUGUGCCAUCAUGCCCGGCUAAUUUUGUAUUUAUAGUAGAGAUGGGGUUUCUCCAUGUUGGUCAGGCUGGUCUCCAUCACCUGACCUCAGGUGAUCUGCCCACCUUGGCCUCCCAAAGUGCUGGGAUUUCAGGUGUGAGCCACCAUGCCUGGCCGAUGUCAUGAGACUUGGAAUGAGCUUACAGCUGCUGUUAAAACUUCAAAAGGGUUAGCUUUAUUUUUCACACAUUUGUGAACAAGGCUUAUCUAGGAAACUGGAGACCACAAAUCAGCACAUUCCCAUGAAGGCGGCCGACACAGAAAGCCCAAUCACACUCAGAGCUGACAACCACAUCUCUUAAAGGAAGGCCUUGUGCCAUUUCCAGAGAUUUUGUCUUUUCUCGUCAUGAUGUUGGCUUUUAAUGGGCACCAGGAAACUUAAUGCACCGAUCCCAAGAAACAGAGAAGCAGAAAGCUUUAUCCAGUUAAAGCUAAUUUCAGGGGCUUUGGCUCUGAAAUAGAAUAGAGCAGAGUGUUCUGCCAGGGAACCAGACAACCUGUGUUUAAUUCCUAGCCUCAUCACAUGCAACUGAGAUGAUCUCAGGCACCCCUGCCCCUCAACCUCCUCAGCAGGGUGGGGGUAUGAUGCCAGGACUGCUUACCUCGCAGGAAGAAAUGACCACUGAACCUGUCAACUCUUGCUGUGUAACCAAGGGCGCUGAGGUCCAGCAGCCAGGCGGGCUGGCUGGGAGUCGCUGAUGGAGGUCGGGGGCUCUGCUCCCUCUGACUCCAGUGCUCCAGCAGGUGGGCCCGGAGUGUGCGUAUGGUCCUGGCAGAACCACGACAAGGCAAGUGGAAGCAUACAAGACCUCCAGGGUUUUGCUUGCGGUUGGUGCACUGUUAUUUCUGCCCUCUUCUAUUCUAUUGGCCAAACCUAGAGGUCAGGGGUAGGGAAAUGCCCCCUGCCUCUUAAGUGGGGCAACCACAAAGUGCAUGGCAAGGUCCUGGAUGUGCAAUCUUGCUACUGGAGUAAGGCGGUGCAGUGGAUUGAAUUAGUGUCCCGAUGACUACAGUACCACUCAGUGGACCCUGUGAACAGUUGCGUGGCGUGUUCUGCAGUUGAGAAGUGUCGGCAGAUGUCGCCGAGCUUUAGCUCUGAUUCAGGUGCUCUGUACUCCGGCCCCUGUGCUGCCUCCUCCUCACUUUAUCUGGAGGUGUUUGAGCCCAGUGGCCAUCACUGAGGAAUCAGGGUGUGGGGCUCGGGGAGUGGAGGUGGCUUUGUCUUGGCACCUGGCUUUGCUGCUUCCACUCUGUGUGGCUUAUGGAUUCCCAGUGUCAUGAAGGCUCAGUUUCCUCAGGCAUGGCCCGGGCAGCGGAACCCGUCCAGUUAAUGGUUGUUAUUGCUGCAGUUCUGUGAUACCUGUCCUGGUAGCUCCAGGGCCCGCUGUGGACACGAGUCCUGCAUGUGACAGUGACAAUUUGAUAUGCCAGACUGUAGUUGGUGAGGUCUGGGCCAGCCUGUCUUGUCCAGCACUGCACAGGGCCUUCAGAGUGACCCCCAAUUUCUGCCCCCCUGCAGGAACUCUCCUGAUGAAGAGCCCACAGUGGCUCUUUUCUAUCCUAUUCUCUCCAGUCUGAAUUUCUCAUCCGAUUUGAUGUCUGUGUAUACCCAGUGCUACUAAUGUCCAGAAGAAAAUGUGCACAUAAAGAAAUGAGGCACUAUUCCUCUUUAAGGAAUCAGUAAAUCAGAUAUAAUGCCUUCAGUAGAUUGAUAACAUAAUGAAGCUGACAGUUUGCAUAUGUACUUUGAAUGAUAAUGCGUACCACUUUUGUGAGGUCUAACAUAAAAUAGAGCUGGUGAAGAGUGGGUUAGAGAACCUGAGACCAGCUGCUGCCUUCCCUAGUGUGUCCCGUGUGCAGGCUUUGCUGCCCCAGGCAGGCGCAGGGUAGUUGCUGGGUCCCCAGGUCAUUGCUGUGUGAACGAGUCUUCAGCCUGGUGCUCAGCUAAGUUCUUAUACAUGGGGCUGUGGCCAGGAAAGGUGAAAACUGCCUGUUCCCUUAUCUGGCACAAAAGAAUUGGAAUUUUGGAGUUUCUGUUGUGUCUUGUGACUUACAGAUGUUAACACCACAAAAUGCUAACGUCUCAGCACCAAAGGCCAAGGGCAUGAGCUUCUUCAGUGCCUUGUGCCAGGUGGUGGCGACCACUAAGCUUUUGUCUCUUUUUAAACAGUUUUAUUGAGAUAUAAUUAAUCUACCAUACAAUUCACUCACUUAAAGUACACAGUUCAAUGGCUUUUGGUGUAUUAUAUUAUUAAUUUGAAAAUUUGGUAAAAUAUACAUACAAUUUGUCAUUUUAACCAUUUUUAAGUGUACAGUUCAGUGGCAUUAAUUACAUUCACACACUGCUGUUCAUUUCCAAAACUCUUUCAGCACUCCAAAUAGAAACUUGGCAGCCAUUAACCGGGAGCCCCCCAUGCUUCCUGUCUCCAGCCACUGCUGACCACUAUUCCACCAUCUUUCUGAACUUGCCUAUUCUAGGGACGUCAUGUGAGUGGAAUCAUACAUUAUUUAUCACUCUGUCUGGCUUAGUCCGUAACGCUUCUGAGGUUUACUCACAUUGUAGGAGGUGUUGCCUCUUCAUUUUUUAUGGCCGAGUAGCAUUUCAUCGUGUGUGUGCCGUGUUUCGUUUAUUCACGCAUCUGUCGAUGGCCACUUGAGUUGUUUUCAUCUUUUGGCUGUUGUGAAUAAUGCUGCUAUGAACGUGAGCAUACAAAUAACUCCUCAAAACUUUGCUUUCAAUCAUUUGACUAUAUUCCCAGAUAUGAAAUUGCUGGGCCAUAUGGUGAUUCUAUGUUUAAGUUUCGAGGCGCCACCACGCUAUUGUUCCCAGCAGCAAUGCACAAACGUUCCAGUUCCCCACAUUCUCACUAGUAUUUGUUGUUCUCUCUCUGUCUCUGUGUUUUGGCCAUCCUAACUAGUGUGAGGUCGUAUCCCAUUGUGGCUUUGAUUUGCAUUUCCCUAAUGAUUCAUCAUGUUGAGCAUCUUUUCAUGCACUUAUUUAAAAAUUUGAAAAUGUUUUUAGUGGAGGUGGAGGUCUCAGUGUAUUGCCCAAGCUGGUCUCAAACUCCUGGCCUCAUGAUCUGCCCACCUUGGCUUCCCACAAUGCUGUGAUUACAGGCAUGAGCCACCACACCUGGCCUCAUGCACUUAAUGACCAUGUUUAUGUCUUCUCUGAAGAAAUAUCUCUUAACCCCUUUGCGCAUUUAAAAAUGGGAUUGUUUGUUUUAUUGUCGUUGAGUCUUAGGAGUCCUUUAUGCAUUCUGGAUGUUCAUCCCUGUCAGAUACGUGAUUUGCAAAUACUCUCUCCCACCCCAUGAGCUGCUCUUUCACUGUGUCCAUACUGCCCUUUGCUGCACAGGUUUUAAUUCUCGUGAAGUCCAGGUUGUGCGUUUUCCUUUGUGCCUUGCACUUUUGUUGUCAGGUGCAAGAAACCAUUGCUGAGUCCACUGUCACGAACCUCUUCCUGUUUUCCUCUGUGAGCCACAUGUUUAGGUCUUUGACCCACUUUACAUUAAUUUUGUACAUGGUGUGAGGUAGGGCACAACUUCAUUCUUUUAGUGGCUACCAUGUCAGGUUGUGGUUACUGUUAACUUUUACAACUAGGAAUGAGAAGACUCAGAAAGUCGUGAUUUGGGGCUCAUUGAAUCUUUGUGAAGCUUUUCUAUUCAAGCUGCGCUUGGCUGGGCAACUUUUGACUCCAGUUAUGUGGGAGACAUGUCAUAAAUGUUUCUAAGGUUUGGUCACUCACAUUUUUUCAGUCUUAAUUCACAUUCCUCCCAAUAAUAGGGGGCAUGGCUCCGGGAGAGGGGUGAGGUCCUGGACAACAGCACACUUGUCUUUAAAAAUGUGUUGUUGGUGGGGUGUAGUUGCUUAUACCUGUAAUCCCAGUACUUUGUGAGGCUGAGGUGGGAGAAUCACUUGAGGCCAGGAGUUCAAGAGCAGCCUAGGCAACAAAGUGAGAUUCUGUCUCUAAAAAAAGUGGAAAAAAAUAUUAGCCAGGGGUAGUGGCAUGUGCCUGUAGUCCCAGCUACUCAGGAGGCUGAGGUAGGUGGAUCAUUUGAUCCUGGGAGGUUGAGGCCGCAGUGAGCCGAGAUCAUGCCACUGCACUCUAGCCUGGGUGACAGAGCAAGACCCUGUCUCAAAAAACAAAUAACAAAACAACAAAAACCCAAACAAAUGUGUUGUUGAUAUUUGGACACAGAACAGAAUAGCAGCAACCAACCAUGGGGAUGGGGGUGAGGCUGACCACAGAGGGACGCCAUGAGGGAUUGUUUUGGGGUGAUGAGACCAUCCUGAAUCUUGAUUGUGGUGGUAGUUUUGACUGCAUAUAGUCAAAACCCUUAGUACUAUGACACGAAACAAUGACUUUUACCGUCUCACAUUUAGGAAGUAACCGAAGCAUGAAUAGUGUACUGUUGUCAGGCAGUACUGAGUGGGGUCGGUGCUCCCUCUCUGGGCAGACCCCUGGGUCUGAGUUCGAGUCCCAGCCCUCUUGCUUCUUAGCUGUGUGCCUUGGUUCCCUUUUCUGGAAAAGGAAUGAGGAUUAAAUGGAUUCAGCUCUGAAUCAGGCUGCCCCUAAGGGGUCCCUCCUCACAAGGAUUUCCAGGCCCCAGGUGUGUGUGUCUGCGGGGAUGGAGGAGGAUGCACUGAGGACGUGGGAAGCUCAUGUUCCUGCAGGGUGCUCCACCAUCAUUUGCCUUUAUUUGGGGCCCUUCUUGGGUGGGGUGCUCUUUGUCUCCCACAGCAUCAGUUAUGUUCUGGGCACGUCCCAGGCAUGACCUGGACAUGGGGCAGCGGAAGGCUGGACCAGGCUGGCUGGUUCCUCCUGGGCUGGCGGAGCAGGAGGCCUGAGCUCUGAGGCCCUGGCUGGGUGGGCUAUUUCUGGCAUAAUCUGUUUUGCUGGCCAGCAAUUGCAGGGAUGGAGAGCCAAGUGAUCGGGAUGUGUCCUUGCCUGGACGUGGGAAGGCCUCACUCUGCUUUUGCUUGCUCCAGGUUCAAGAGCUGUUCUGAGCCGGAAGGAACAUGCUGUCCUUUGGGGCUUGAUGGGACAGGCCAGUCUCCCUUCUCGACUUUCCUGCUUAAGGGACAGGAGCUUCCUUUGGAAAUGAAGUGACUGGCAGUGCUGCUGUGGCAUGGUUGCCUUUCUCAUUUGGAGCCCUGAACAGUCUGGCAUCCUCUCCUCCAACAGCGACCUUCUGAUGGAACAGGCAAGCUGAAGUCACAGGGCAGGGGGCGGCCUCAGUGCCCCUGCGGAUGGGGGUGCGCUCUCUUGGAUGAGGCCUUCCUGCCACCUUCUGAUGGAACAGGCAAGCUGAAGUCACUGGGUGGGGGGCGGCCCCAGGGGUGCGCUCUCUUGGAUGAGGCCUUCCUGCCACCUUCUGAUGGAACAGGCAAGCUGAAGUCACUGGGUGGGGGGGCGGCCUCAGUGCCCCUGCGGAUGGGGGUGCGCUCUCUUGGAUGAGGUCUUUCUGCCAUAACCAGACAGGGGCGGGGUGCCAGGGAGAAGCAGGAUCAGGACACCCAGCGAUGGCUGUGGCCCCAGCAGUCCCUGAUUCCCUGUGUGCUUCCUUCCUGCUCAGCUGCUCCAUCCUGUGCUGCCUCCCUCAAGAGGACACCAGAGAGGAUGCGGCAGUCUGACACCGCGAGGAACACCCCCACGGAGGCUGGCCUCCUUUCCCACAGCCCACAGGGUCUUUAUGCUCAGCCAGUGGAGCUGUCUGGUCCUUGAGCCUGGGGGCUGUGGCUCUCCCAGUGAUCAGGUCACCAUCUCCAUGUGUGUCUGCUUUGCCUCGCUCAGGGGUCACCUGCCUAACACGCGCCAGUGAGCACUGGCUUUGUUUCAUCUGUGCUGUGUCAGCGGGGGCAGCGGGGACAGUGGCUCCACUCCCCCACUCCCUGGGCACAGCCCUCGCCCACAGCACUGUCCUGGUGUUGCACAGAUGCUGCAGCACCUCCAGCCUGGGUGGGUUUACACACAGUCCCCAGCAAGGGAGCCAGGGUGCUCAGCCUCCCUUGGAAGCAGCUGCCAGGGAAGAAGCCUGUGUGUGCUGAACACGGGCUCUGCUAAGCCUUGUCCCCGUGCACCACCUGUCCUGCUAUCUCCUAGUAGGCUCAGGUCCUCGAGACCCGCACCACUUGGGUAGCCUGACCUUGGUGCCUGAGUGCCCUGGCUCCUACCCAGCUGCUCCCCAGCUCCAAAGAGUGAGAAGAAGGAGAGGAAACGGAGUCAGGAUCCCCUGUCCCUUUUUACCCGGGGCAGGGCCAAGCUGGAGGGCAGCCAGGCUGCAGCAGAAGCCUCUUCUCCUCUUGGUCCCCAUGAUGGGGACUCCCCUUUUCCCCAGGGAUGCCGCUGGUAGCUGCUGUCACAAUGGGGAUAAAGCGAUUAUGUUUCCAGACUGUAGGGAGCCAACUCCCCCUGCAGGCUCAAGGGCCCUGAUCCUAUUGCCACCUGGGCAGGUCAGGGAGAGGGAUCCUAGCUUUGCUUCCCACCCAGUCUCCUGGCCCCAGACAGCCUGUGCCUGACAAGGGGCCACCUCCCUUUCCUUCCAUCAUGAGCUGCCUCUCCUGACCUCAAGAUGGCCUUGAUGUCCUGCUGGAGGAAUGAGGGCUGUAGGCGAGUGACCAGGUGACAAUGUGUCCGUGGUCUCCAGGGACCAGGUGACGAUGUGCCGGUGGUCUGCAGGGCCACUGUGGGAGUGUGUGUGUGUUGCAGGGUGGGGUGGGCUCAUCUGGGGCUCGCCUGGUUCUGUUCUCUCUUCUCUAAGUAUCCGAGAAAGCCUUAGUCACAGGUGCUGACGGAGAGCCCCUCUGCUCCCCUGCUGCACCAUGAGAGGACCCCCAAAGCUGUUGUGUGAAGGGCUCCUGGUGAAAGGCCUCCCGUUUAUCACACUGAUUCCAGUGCAGCAGGUAAAACUGCAGCCCAGAAUGGCCUGCCUUGCUCAGGGCUAGGCUUGGUCCCCUGAGAAAUAUCUUAGAGCCUCACUGUGCCUCCUCUAUCCCACCUCCCAGCUCCUCUCCUGUCCCCCUUUCUUCUGCCUCUGUGCAUAGUAGGAGCCUCUGGAAGGGGGACUUGGCACGGAAAGGCAGUGAGUGGGAGUUAGGAGCUACUGGCUCUCUGGUGUUUCCACCCUUGCUGCACACCCAGCUAUGCUCCCUUCCCUCUGGCGUCUCCUCAUGGACACUGGGGUCAUUAGGGGCAGCUGGGGAGACUGGGCUCCAGGAGGGGCAGGAAGGAGGGUGGCAGCAGGAGGAACUGGCCUGGGGCACGCCCAUGGUUGUAUGAUGUCCAGGCUUAGCAGGCAGCUCCUCACAGCACCAUGUGCCUGGGGCAGAAUGGGGGCUCCCUCCAGCAGAAGGGUGGUGCCUCGAGGUGAUUUUUGAUGCUGUCUGAUGGGGUUAGAGGACAUAAGAUCAUAAGAUCCUGGGCUGAGGACAAGUUGAUGCUGACAGUGCUCCUCCUUGUGGGGUCCUGAGGGUGCCACACACACAGGCUGGGCAGAGGCCAGUCCAGGCAUAGCCUGCUUGAUGCUGACAAUCUGCUGCUAAAAUGAGACUUCGCUUCUGACAGCAGAGGGAAAAAAUAAUAAUGCAUUGCUUGUUGACCCAAACUUUCCAUGCAAGUCCCUAUAAAGUGUUUAGUUAUGAAUACGAUCCCUGAACAAGUUCCCCAGAUGUAAUGGAAACGUGAGAUUGUGCCUCCUGGUGAGGGAGAAUCUGCGGGGCUGCAAUGUCCCAUGCUCAGUGCAUCCCUGCGUGGUCACAGGCAUGUGACUUCAGCACAGCUGUGGAAGGGUCACAAGCUGUCACUGCACCAACCUUGGACCAGCCUCGUGCAGGGCAGUCACCCCCGCGGCUGCAGUACUGUCUCUGUGUGAAGGCUGUCCCCGCACCUAGAGUCCCAGGAUGGCUAUUUUGUUGUGCUCACAGCUUCUGUGAGUCCAGGCUGGGGAGGGCACAGGGGACAGCUGGACUUUGCUCCAGUGUCGGGGCCUCAGCUGGGAGAGCCCAAGUCUGGCAGCAGAGGCUCAUGUCAUCAGGCGUCCCCCAGCACCCUCCUGGAGGGCUCUGUGUGCGGCGGCUCAGCACAGCGGGACUUCUGACAUGGCCAAGGCUCCAGGAACAAGGGCUGCAGAGAACAGGUGGGGCUGCCUCACCUUAGGACACAUCUCAAAGUCACAUUGUGCUACCUCUGUCCAUUGGUCAGUAGGUCCAAGAAGGAGGGCUUCUCAGUGGAGCAAUAUCAGGGCCGAUGUGGAGAGCAACUUGCAGGGUAGAGAAGUCAUGUGGUUGUAAACAUCAUGUGCAAUUCACACAUUCUACUAAUUGUACUUGGAAAGUGGCUUGAGACUUCUUUUUGCCCAUCAUUUUGCUAAACUUGUGUACUGAAUUUUGGGAAUGUAAAUUUCCCCUGUAAAUAUGCUGAGGCCCACUAGGAGAGGUAUGAUACAAAAGAUGGACAGAAACAAGUGUUGCUGAGGAUGUGGGGAACUCAGAACCCUCAGACACUGCUGCUGGGAACGAGAGCUGUACAGCCACUUUGGAAAAGAGUUUGGCAGUUCCUGAAGAAGUUAAGCCUAUCCAGAAAGUCCACUCCUACAUAUACAUUUAAGAGAAUUGAAAAUGUGCAUUCCAAAUACAGGACAACUGAACAACCUGCUCCUCAAAGACUAUUGGAUAAAUAAAUAACAAAAUGAAGGCAAAAAUAAAGGUGUUCUUUGAAACCAAUGAGAAUGAAGACAAUGUACCAGAAUGUCUGGGACACAGCUAAAGCAGUGUCUAGAGGGAAAUUUAUAGCACUAAAUGCCCACGAGAGAAAGCAGGAAAGAUCUAAAAUUGACACCCUAAUGUCACAAUUAAAAGAACUAAAGAAGUAAUAGCAAACAAAUUCAAAAGCUAGCAGAAGACAAGAAAUACCUAAGAUCAGAGCAAAACUCAAGGAGAUAGAGACACAAACCUUUCAAAAAAUUGAUGAAUCCAGGAGCUGGUUUUUUGAAAGUAUCAACAAAAUAGACCACUAGCCAGACUAAUAAAAAAGAAAAGAGAGAAGAUUCAAAUAGAUACAAUAAAAAAUGAUAAAGGGGAUAUCACCACCAAUCCAAAAGAAAUACAAACUACCAUCAAAGAAUACUAUAAACACCUCUAUGCAAAUGAACCAGAAAAUCUAGAAGAAAUGGAUAAAUUCCUUGACAUUUACACCCUCCCAAGACUACAGUAGGAAGGAGUGGAAUCCCUGAAUGGACCAAUAACAUGUUCUAAAACUGAGGUAAUAAUUAAUAACCAAAAAAAGCCCAGGAUCAGAUGGAAUUCUACCAGAGAUACAAAGAGGAGCUGGUACUAUUCCUUCCGAGACUAUUCCAAACAAUAGAAAAAGAGGGAAUCCUCCCUAACUCAUUUUAUGAGGCUAACAUCAUCCUGAUACUGAAACCUGGCAGAGACACACAACAACAAAAUUUGAGGCUAAUAUCCCUGAUGAACAUUGAUGUGAAAAUCCUCAAUGAAAUACUGGCAAAUCUAAUCCAGCAGCACAUCAAAAACUCAUCCACCACGAUCAAGUCAGUUUCAUCCCUGGGAUGCAAAGUGGGUUCAACAUAUGGAAAUUAAUAAACAUAAUCCAUCACAUAAACAGAACCAAAGACAAAAACCACAUGAUUAUCUCAAUAGAUGCAGAGAAGGCCUUCGACAAAAUUCAACAGCCCUUUAUGCUAACAACUCUCAAUAAACCAGGAACAUAUCUCAAAAUAAUAAGACUAUUUAUGACAAACCCACAGCCAGUAUCAUACUGAAUGGGCAAGCCCUGGAAGCAUUCCCUUUGAAAACCAACACAAGACAAGGAUGCCCUUUCUCACCACUUCUUUUCAACAUAGUAUUGGAAGUUCUGGCCAAGGCAAUCAGACAAGAAAAAGAAAUAAAGGGUAUUCAAUUAGGAAAAGAGGAAGUCAAACUGUCUCUAUUUGCAGAUGACAUGAUUGUAUAUUUAGAAGACCCCAUUGUCUCAGCCCAAAAUCUCCUUAAGCUGAUGAGCAUCUUCAGCAAAAUCUCAAGAUACAAAAUCAAUGUGCAAAAAUCACAAGCAUUCCUAUACGCCAAUAACAGACUAACAGAGAGCCAAACCAUUAGUGAACUCUCAUUCACAAUUGCUACAAAGCGAAUAAAAUACCAAGAAAUACAACUUACAAGGGAUGUGAAGGACCUCUUCAAGGAGAACUACAAACUACUGCUCAAGGAAAUGAGAGAGGACACAAGCAAGUGGAAAAACAUUCCAUGCUCAUGGUUAGGAAGAAGCAAUAUCAUGAAAAUGGCCAUACCACCCAAAGUAAUUUAUAGAUUCAAUGCUAUCCACAUCAAGCUACCAUUGACUUUCUUCACAGAAUUGGAAAAAAGUACCUUAAAUUUUAUAUGGAACCAAAAAAGAGCUCAUAUAGCCAAGACAAUCCUAAGCAAAAAGAGCAAAGCUGGAGGCAUCACACUACCUGACUUCAGAUUAUGCUACAAGGCUACAGUAAUCAAAACAGCAUGGUACUGGUACAAAAACAGAUAUAGACCAAUGGACCAGAACAGAGGCCUCAGAAAUAAUGUCACACAACUACAACCAUCUGAUCUUUGACAAACCUGACAAAAAACAAGCAAUGAGGAAGGGAUUCUCUAUUUAAUAAAUAGUGUUGGGAAAACUGGCUAGCCAUAUGCAGAAAGCUGAAACUGGAUCACUUCCUCACACCUUAUACAAAAAUUAACUCGAGCUGGAUUAAAGACUUAUAUGUAAGACCUAAAACCAUAAAAACCCUAGAAGAAAACCUAGACAAUACCAUUCAGGACAUAGGCAUGGGCAAAGACUUCAUGACUAAAACACCAAAAACGAUGACAACAAAAGCCAAAAUAACAGGUGGGAUCUAAUUAAACUAAAGAGCUUCUGCACAGCAAAGGAACUAUGAGUGAACAAGCAACCUACAGAAUGGGAGAAAAUUUUUGCAAUCUACCCAUCAGACAAAAGGCUAAUAUCCAGAACUGACAAAGAACUUAAACAAAUUUACAAGAAAAAAACAAACAACCCCAUCAAAAAGUGGGCAAAGGAUAUGAACAGACACUUCUCAAAAGGAGACAUUUAUGCAGCCAACAAACAUGAAAAAAUGUUCAUCAUCACUGGGCAUUAGAGAAAUGCAAACCAAAACCACAAUGAGAUACUAUCUCACGCCAGUUAGAAUGGCAAUCAUUAAAAAAUCUGGAGACAACAGAUGCUGGAGAGGAUGUGGAGAAAUAGGAAUGCUUUUACACUGUUGGUGGGAGUGUAAAUUAGUUCAGCCAUGGUGGAAGACAGUGCAGUGAUUCCUCAAGAAUCUAGAAAUAGAAAUACUAUUUGACCCAGCAAUGCCAUUACUAGGUAUAUAUUCAAAGGGGUACAAAUUGUUCUAUUAUAAAGACAGAUACACACAUAUGUUUAUUGUGGGACUCUUCAUAAUAGCAAAGACUUGGAACCAACCCAAAUACCCAUCAAUGAUAGAAUGAAUUAAGAAAAUGUGGCACAUAUACACCAUGGAAUACUAUGCGGCCAUAAAAAAGGAUGAGUUCAUGUCCUUUCCAGGGACAUGGGUGAAGCUGGAGACCAACAUUCUCAGCAGACUGACACAAGAACAGAAAACCAAACACUGCAUGUUCUCACUCGUAAGUGGGGUUGAACACAUGGACACAGGGAAGGGAACAUCACAUUCUGGGGCCUGUUGGGGGAUGGGGGGCUAAGGGAGGGAUAGCAUUAGGAUUGACAGCAUGUGGAAUAGCCAUAGGAGGAAAUAUCCAGUCAUAAAAUGGAACGAAGUAUUGACUUAUGCACCAGCAUGAAUCAUUCUUGAUGCUAAGAAAAACAAGCCUAGUGGAAAAGGCUUCCUAUUGUAGAAUUCCUCUGAUAUGCAAAUCCAUAGAUACAGACAGUGGAUUGCUGGUCACCAGGGCUGGGGACUGAGGGGUGGAGAGUGACUGCUAAUGAGUGUGGGAUUUCUUUGAUGAAAAUGUUCUAGAAUUAGAUAGUUGUACAACCUUGAAAAUAUACUAAGACCCACUGAAUUGUAUACUUUGAAAGGGUGAAUUUCACAGUAUGUGAGUUAUGUCUUCAUAAAAAUUGUUUUAGAAGAAGGUUCUGAGAAACGUGUCCUUAGGUGAUUUUGUCAUUGCAUGAACAUCGGCAUGUACUUCACCAGCCCGAUGGUAGCACUGACCGCAAGUCUAGGCUGCAUGCUAUGGCCGAUUGCUCCUGGGCUGCAAACCUGUAAGGCAUGUCUCUGUACUGACUACUGUGGGCAACUGUAAUAUAAUGGUCAGUAUUUGUGCAUCUAGACAUAUCUGAAUAUGGAAAAGGUGCAGCAGAAAUACGGUAUUGUAAUCUUAUGGGACCACCAUCCUAUAUGUGGUCUGCUGUUGACUUAAAGGUCAUCACGCGGUGCAUGAUUGCAUCUAAAAAAUCAGCUGAGAGAUACGUCCUUUCUGUGAACUCUGAGUGUUGAACGUCAAGUGCCUUUCUACUGGGAGGGGUUCUUCAGGGCAUGGCUGUGAUAAAGGGGUGUAGGCACCCCACUGUUUCCUCAUGCAGGGAUCGCUGGAGGAGGAUGAGUUGGAGAUGUAGCUGACACCAAAGCCCCAGCAGCCAGGCAUCUACCUCAAACCCAGUGUGAACCUUGGGACAGGUUUGCUCAACCAAGCCUGGCAGGUGGGCGCGGAGAAGAUGCGAUGACCAGGAAACAGGAGUGGAGCCUCAGAGUCAUGUGAGGAUGAAGAGUCUGAAGGCAUGGGAGCCCUGCCCACUAGUAACAUGGGCCUCAUGAGGGUCUGGCCCUGGCCAAUCCCAUCAGCACUUCCUCCUCUGUGUGGGUGCUUGGUGUGUGUGGGCACAGGGGGAGCAGGGAUUAAGCAGCAGUGAGACUCAGGCAUGGUCAGGCCAGUAGGCACCAAGCUGCUGUGGGACAGUCUGGCCACAGCCACCAUCCCCUGGGAGAAGAGGGUGGGCAAGACCUGGUGGGCUGUCAGGGCAUGGCCUGAAGUUUAGGACAGAGGUUAUGCCCAAAGAGGAAUGGGAUUCUCCUGGGGGACCAGGAUGCAGCCACAGUGGGGGAGCAGGGGAAGGUGGGAGGGAGAAGGGGUGCAUUCUGCUGGAAUCAGUCACCUUGGAGUCACCAGUAGGCAAGCCUCUUGGUAUUUCUGCCUGGGCCCCCCUGUCCUGUAACUUACUGUAACCAGUGAAGCAGGAGGGAGUGACAGGGAACUGUGCCAGUCCCAGGCCUAAGCUCAAGGGGGUCUAAGCUUCUGCAUUUGCACUGGGGGAGCCUGAGCUGCAGCGUAAUGUGCUGAGCCCCGAGACUUGUGGAGAGAAUGAGGUGCAGCUGCCCCAGCCUCCAAGCUGAGUCCGGCCCUACUGGCCUUUCAGCUCCAUGCGACCAUGUGUGUGACCUCUGGCCACGCCAGAAGGAGAUAUUCCCAGCUGAGCCCAGCCCUGUUUGCAGAAUCCUAGCAAAUAAAGUGACCAUUAUUUUAAGUGGCUGAGUUUUGGGGUAGCUGGAACUCCCACUCCAGGCUUAUCCUCUGAUCCCUUCCUGGUGAGCAGAGGUAGCAGAUCCACCUCCAGCUCUGGACAGAACUGGUGCUGCAGAGAGAGAGACUUGACACUGCAGGGAGAGAGACUUGAUGCCACAGGGAGAGAGGCUUCAUGAGUGACACUGGCGCAGGCAGGCUGGCAGGCAGGGUACCAGCAGGAGCAGCCUGAGUUGGAUGGUCUCUGGGCCUGAGGGGUCUUGGGCAGGCAUUCCCAGGCAGUGCUAAUCUGCCCAUGGCCCAGGGAAUGUCUUGGAGCUCAGCUGACCAUGGGUCAAUCUACAGAGUUGUCUGAAGUGUCCGUCACAGGCUACCAGACAUAAAGCACGUCUAGGUUAUCUUGUUUCUCGCCAAAUGGGUGUCAAACUCAGCAUCUGACACAAGUGGGCUCAAAACUAGCUAUGUGGAGAAGUGCGUGAGAGGGGAGCAUUCCCCAGAGGCUUCCAUGGUGGAUCCCUUCUAGCCCUCACCAGACCUUGAGCCACUCUCUAUAGCCAGACUGAAGGCACUGGGAGGCCAGGGAUGGAUCUGGAAGGGAUGUGGUGCCCACAGUAGGUGCCCAGCAAUGCUUGUGGCAUGACGAAGUGUGGGAGGUGGAGAGCCUUGACCUCUUCUGGAUGCUUUUCCUGCAGGCAGGCAUGGCGUGCACGUGCACAGGACAGAGCUGAUAAAGAAUGAGCUUUGUCUCCUCCUGGCAGGCACAGAGAGUCUGAGUCUCUUAUGUGUCAAGAAUUCUGUGUUAUUUAAAAUUUAGCUAUUGUGACCAAAACACAUUUAUAAAUUCGCCUGUCAGUAUCCCUUUUCUCUUUCCAUCUUCUCAUCCCUUAAGAGUCAGAGGACCCUCAAGAUGGAUCAGCAGUGCCCUGGUGUGUGUGGAGAGGGGCCCCAGGGGUGUGGAGCCUGCUGGGCAUUGCAGAGCUGGCAGCGCCUCUGCGUUAUUGCUCCAUGGACUCUGUUUUCCCCUGCUCCACUCCUCCCUUGUCACCAUCCCCACCCCACACCUUUCCACUCUGAUUGGUGAAACUCUGUGAGAUGUGCAGGUCUGUCUGUGUGUUUUCAGUGAAUGCAAGUGUACUACCCAGCUCCUAUUUCUCACCUCUGCUCUCAGCCUGAUGCUCUUCAGAUACACCACCGUGUUUUCUGGGCUUCUGGUAUUGCUUUGUGCAGCUGAUAGUAUUUUUUUUCUUUCUUUCUUUCUUUUUUUGAGAUGGAGUCUCACUCUGUAGCCCAAGCUGGGGUGCAGUUGCACAAUCUUGGCUCACUGCAACCUUCACCUCUGGGGUUCAAGUGAUUCUCCUGCCUCAGCCUCCCAAGGAGCUGGGAUUAUAGGUGCCCGCCACCAUACCUGGUUGAUAUUUUUGUAUUUUUAGUAGAGACUGGGUUUCACCAUAUUUCCCUGGGUGGUCUUGAACUCCUGAGCUCAGGCGAUCCACCUGCCUUGGCCUCCUGAAGUGUUGGGAUUAUAGGUUUGAGCCACCACGCCCAGCCAGCUGUUAGUCUUCUUACGUGCAUUUAAGAUAUUCAGUUAUUCCCUCCUGAUGGUGGCAAUGGGUUGUCCUGAAUGCUAUCAUGACACCUGAAGAACAUCCCUGCACAUUGUCUCAGGACAUCUGGGAGGAGAAUCAACAGGUCAUCACCACCUUUCCCCCCAAGAUUUAUCACUAAGUGUUGUAUAGUUUUUGAUGUUUGUUAUAGGUCAUAUUUUCCCGUUUCCUUAUGUGCUUGAUAAUUUUUGAUUGGCUGUCAUAGAUUAUGAAUUUUAUCUUGCUGGUUGCUGGUCACUUUUGUUUUCUACGAAUAUUUUUGAGCUUUGUUUUGGGAUGGAACGAAGUUAUUUGGAAACAGUUGGAACCAUUUGGGUCUGACUUUUAAAUAUUGUUAGUGGAACAAGCAAGAGAGGCCGUUAGUUGAGGGCUGAUAUUCCCACAAAUGGAGCCAAAUUCAUUGAGGACUCUCCCAGUGUCUGGUAUGGCUGGUGGGAGAUGGCACCACUUCUGGCCCUGAGUGGCAGUGACUACAACUCCCUGUCUUCCUUUCCAGCCGUUCUUUCCCAUGUCAGGCAGCUUCCCUGCAGUGUGUGCUGAUCAGUUCCCAUCUGAUCUGCCAGCUGUAAAGAGAGGUCCAGGAGGAAAGGCGUGAGACCAUCUGUCUACAGUUCUGUCAGUGAGCCACCAUCGACGUGGGGUCUCCUGCCCAGUCAAGCCUUCCAUGACCACAAUCUCAGCUACAACUUGACCACCAGCCCGUCAGAGACCCCAAAUCAGAAACUUGACACCCAACUGAGCCACUUCCAAUCCCUGCCCUCAGACGCUGUGUGAGCUAUUACAUGCUUGGAAUGCCAAGCCACUAGAUUUGAGGUAUUCUGUUUUGUAGCAGGAGAUAACCAGCACAUACGUUAAUGUGUGCCCACCUGUACACCUCUGCACACACUCCCUCCAUCUGUGCCUUCCACUCCUUUUCAUCCCCAUGUUUCUGCCCCACCCAUUUCAAGGCUAAGCCUCCCUACCAGAUGCCCUUGAUUCUUUUAGAGGGAGGAACUUUUCCUGUGGAUGACCUUAGAGCCUUCUUUGUGCCUGCUUUAAGGACACCUGUCUUCUACCUUGUUAGCACCUUUCCUGUGUGAUAGCUGCAUCCUGUCCUGCUCUGUGGUUCCUGAGGACAGGAGCCAGGGACAUGAACAUCUGUGACUCCAUAGCUGGUGGUCCCACUGUGGAGGUGUCACAUGCCCUCACACACCACAGCAAAACCCUCUCCCACACCUGGCCCUGCAGAGCUCGUCUGAUGCCACACACAUAUCCAUGCCUAGGUUGCCCAUAUUAUAAGUACGGGAGACAAUUUCCCACACCUGCAGGGCUGACUCUACUCACUCACCUGAGACUUGGGCCAGGAGGAGCCUUUCAGGAUAUGGGACUGCUGUGGUUUGAAUGUGUCCCCUAAACUUCAGGUGUUGGAAACUUAGUCCCCAAAUCCCUGUUGAUUGGAGGUAGGGUCUUUGGGAGGUGAUUGGGGUUAUAUAAAGUCAUCUGGGUGGGGCCCCCAUGAUGGGACCAGUGGCUUUAUAAGAAGAGGAAGAGAGACCUGAUGUGGCAUGUUCUUGUCCUGUCUCCAUGUGAUGCCUUCUGCUAUGUGAAGCUGGAGCAGAUAGACCCCCACAAGAUGCCAGUGCCAUGCUCUUGGACUUCCCUGCCUCCAAAACUGUGUGCCUGAGACUGGGUAAUUUAUAAAGAAAAGAGGUUUAAUUGACUCACAGUUUUGAAUGGCUGGGGAGGCCUCAGGAAACUUACAAUCAUGGUGGAAGGUGAAGGAGAAGCAAAGGCAUGUCUUACAUGGCAACAGCGAAGAGUGAGUGAACAAAGGAGGGAGCCCCUUAUAAAACCAUCAGAUCUCGUCUCACAGCUCCACUAGGCAGUGCCCAGUGGGGACUCUUUGUGGGGGCUCCAACCCACAUUUCUCUUCCAAACUGCCCUAGCAGAGGUUCUCCAUGAGGGCUCCACCCCUGCAGCAGACUUCUGCCUGAACACCUAGGCAUUUACAUACACCCUCUGAAACAUAGGUGGAGGCUCCCAAAGCUCAACUCUUGUCUUCUGUGCACUUGCAGGCCCAACAUGAUGUGGAAGUUGCCAAGGCUUGGGGCUUGCACCCUUUGAAGCCAUGGGCCAAUGUGUACCUCGGCUCCUUUUAGCCAUGGCUAGAGCUGGAGCAGCUGGGACUCAGGGUGCCAUGUCCUGAGGCUGCACAGCGCAGCAGAGCCCUGGGCCUGGCCACAAAACCGUUUUUUCCAUCCUGGGCCUCCAGGCCUGUAAUGGGAGGGGCUGUUGUGAAUAACUCUAAAAUGUCUUGGAGACAUUUUCCUCACUGUCUUGGCUAUUAACAUUAGGGUCCUUGUUACUUAUGCAAAUUUCUGUGGCCAGCUUGAAUUUCUCCCCAGAAAAAGUGUGUGUGUGUGUGUGUGUGUGUGUGUGUGUGUGUUUCUACCACAUGAUCCGGCUUCAAAUUUUCUAAACCUUCAUGCUCUGCUUCCGUUUUAAGCAUAAGUUCCAAUUUCAAACCAUCUUUGUGUGACUACGUUUGAUGAAAUGCUUUUAUAAUCAGCCAGGUCACAUCUUGAAUGCUUUGCUGCUUAGAAACAUUUUCUGCCAUAUACCCUAAAUCAUCUCUUUAGAAUUCAAAGUUCCACAGAUCUCUCAGGUAGGGGCAAAAUGCUGCCUGUCUUUUUGCUAAAGCAUAGAAAGAGUGGCCUUUGCUCCAGUUCCCAGUAAGUGUCUCAUCUCCAUCUGAGACCACCUCAGCCUGGACUUCACUGUCCAUAUCACUAUCAACAUUUUGGUCAAAACAAGUCUCUAGAAAGUUCCAAACUUUCCCACAUCAUUCUGUUUCUUCCAAGCCCUCUAAACUGUUCUGCUAUCUGCCUGUUACCCAGUAAAGCUGCUUCCACAUUCUCAGGUUAUUCUUUAUAGCAGUGCCCCACUUUUCAUACCAGUGUUCUGUGUUAGUUCAUUUUCACACUGCUGUAAAGAAUACCUGAGACUGGGUAAUUCAUAAAGAAAAGAGGUUUAAUUGACUUAAAGUUCUUCAGGGCUGGGAAGGCCUCAGGAAAUUUACAAUUAUGGUGGAAGGCAAAGGGGAAGCAGGCACUUUUUUCACAAGAUGGUUGGGGCGGAGAGAGAGAGAGUCCUACGCUUUUUUUUUUUUUGAGACGGAGUUUUGCUCUUGUUACCCAGGCUGGAGUGCAAUGGCACGAUCUUGGCUCACCACAACCUCUGCCUCCUGGGUUCAGGCAAUUCUCCUGCCUCAGCCUCCUGAGUAGCUGGGAUUACAGGCACACACCACCAUGCUCAGCUAAUUUUUUGUAUUUUUAGUAGAGACGGGGUUUCACCAUGUUGACCGAGAUGGUCUCUAUCUCUUGACCUCGUGAUACACCCCCCUCGGCCUCCCAAAGUGCUGGGAUUACAGGCAUGAGCUACCGCGCCCAGCCCAGUCCUACACUUUUAAAGCAUUGGAUCUUGUGAGAACUCACUCACUAUCACCAGAACAGCAGGUCCCUCCCUCAACAAGUGGGGAUUACAAUUCAAGAUGACAUUUUGGUGGGGUCAUUGGGCCAAACCAUAUCAAGCAGAGACAGGGAUGUGAGGAAAUGGAAUUUCUUAACCAUCAGAGUUGAGGUUAGUACCAGUGCUUACAAGAGAAAUUUGGCUGCAGAGAUGUUAUUUAGGAGUGUAUUGCUUACUACCCAAACAUAUGGGGAUUUUCUAGUUGUAUUUAAAUGAUUGAUUUCUGGCCCGUUCCAUGGUGUAUGUCCUGUGUAUGACUUUGGUCCUUUUCACUUUGUUGAGUGUUGUGAAUGCCCCAGGUGCUCUCAGAAGCAAUGGACACUCUGCAGGUGUUGGGAUUCAGGUCAAGGUGGGUCAUUGUGUUGUGUCUCCUAGAUCUCUGUGGACUUUUUUCCUUCCUGUUCUGUCAGUUUUACAGAGAGGGGUUUGACUCUGCCACUGUGGCCACGGGCUUGUCUACCGCUCCUUUUGGUUCUGCCAGGUUUUGCUUAGGAUGCCUGUUAUUUCAUGCCACAAGCUUAGGACAUUGCAUUUCUGUUUGCUUGUUACCUUCUGUCAUUCCUGAACGUCCCUCAUGUGUAUUACUGCUUCCUGUCUGAUGUUCACAUUGCCACAAUGGAAUUUUCUUACUAUUUUAGUUUCAACUCUUCUGUAGGCUUGUAUUUCAGAUGUGUCUGCUGUAUGUUAUUCUUGCAUUAAUCAUUUGCCUAGUUUCAUUCCCUAGACAUUUGCUGAUGACUCUUAUGCCAGAUGCCCACUUGAGAGCCUGGAGAGAGUGGCAGUAGCGCCCACUGCCUGCUGUGUGACCUGCUUGCACCCCUGGGGACUCCAGCUCUGGGGCCUGUGCUGAUUCUGCUCUGACAAACUGUGCAGCCCUCUCUAAGCGCCGUCUCCAGUGGGAACAGUAUCGUCCACUUUGAAGUUCUGGACUCGGGUGUAGGAUGUGAUGGUUCUCUCAUUUUAAUCUCUCUCUAGAUCUGACAAUUUAAAAGAACUUGCAUUCCUCAGACAAAAGUUCUUUUUUCUUUUUGCAGGAAAUAUUUUGCUGAAUUUGAUCAGUAACAUUAGCAGAAAUUUCCACUUCCAUUAAAAUUGUUAAUCAUUUUAAAUCUAAAGAGCAAACCAAGAAAACAGUGCUUAUUACUGAUUAUCACGUGACAGUUGACUUUUAAAGUCAAGGUGACUGAGGUAUAAUUUGCACAGAUUAAAAUUCACCCUUUUUAGAUGCAUAAUUUGAUGAUUUUCCCUGGGUUAGCACCUAAGGUUGUAUGGUAAACAUAUGUGAAACCACAUUUGCAAAAUUAUGACAGUGACAGAAAUCUGACAGAGUGGACUCCACGUUGCUUCUAACUCCAAGCUGUCUUGGUCAUUCCUUGGCACAGGCCAAGCUAACUUUGGGAAGAAUUUAGCUUAGAGUUUAGCUAAAGUUUUCAUUUUAGUUUAUAGUUUAAAGCAAGGAUGAUAAUAGCUCUUCUGCAAAACUAAGCCACCUUUGUAAAAGUAAUAAAAGGCCCCAAGGUUAGGAUUUUGAGAGGGGCUGAAUCGUGCUGAGAUUAGCCAUCACUAGACAUUGUCUCAGCAGUCACAAGAUGUGCAGCUUCUCCAGUUCUCCUGUGGAUGACAUCAUCAUUGUAGAACCCAAGAUUGGCCUUUUGAGAGUUUUCCCCCCAAGACUUCUGCAUUUCUGGUGACUGGGUGAUGGUACCUAGACCUGAGGCUUGUGACUUACCUGGUCCUGUGCCCAGUCUCCACAGAGGGGGACUCAGUGCACAAGAACUGUUUUCACACAGUUCUAUGAUUUUAUCACCAGCCAGUCAGCAGCACACAUUCCCUAGACUCUGGCCCACCAAAUAAUCCUUGAAAAACCAUAACGUCUGAGCCUUCUGGGAGACUGAUUGAGUGAAAACCAGAGUUAUCCUAUAGGGCUGGCCUUGCAUUAAUUAAACUCUUUCUUUUUUUCUUUUUAAAGGCAAGACAGGCUUAUUCAUAUUGAUAAUUCAAAUAGAGAACUCAAAUGCUCCUGACACGGUAUCAUUUUCAAGUACAAUUCUUGUUACCAAGUUUACAUUUACACAGUUGUUUCCCUCCCUAGAUAAAACCAUCUGAUCUGCUGGAAACACCAACCAGUAGUUGAACCAACCAUUUAAUUAACCUAUAAAAGCUUUGUGGAACUUUAAAGAAACUAUAAUAGUAAAUUGGUUCCCAAAACUUUCUUUUUUUUUUUAUUAUACUUUAAGUUCUGGGUACAUGUGCAGCACAUGCAGUUUUGUUACAUAUGUAUACCCGGGCCAUGGUGGUUUGCUGCACCCAUCACCCCAUCAUCUACAUUAGAUAUUUCUCCUAAUGCUAUCCCUCCCCUAGCCCCCCACCCCAACAGUCUCGGUGUGUGAUGUUCCUCUCCUGUGUCCAUGUGUUCUUAUUGUUCAACACCCACUUAUGAGUGAGAACAUGCAGUGUUCAGUUUUCUGUUCUUGGGUUAGUUUGCUAAAUAUAUAACCAUAUCAUCUGCAAAUAAAGACAAUUUGACUCCCUUUCCUAAUUGAAUACCCUUUAUUUCUUUCUCUUGCCUGAUUGCUCUGGCCAGAACUUCUAAUACUGUGUUGAAUAGAAGUGGUGACAGAGGGCAUCCUUGUCUAGUGCCAGUUUUCAAAGGGAAUGCUUCCAGUUUUUGCUGGAAUAUAUAUAUUGGCUGUGAGUUUGUCAUAAAUAGCUCUUAUUAUUUUCAGAUAUGUUCCAUUCAUACCUAGUUUAUUGAGAGUUUUUAGCAUAAAGGGCUGUUGAAUUUUGUUGAAGGCCUUCUCUGCAUCUUUUGAGAUAAUCAUGUGGUUUUUGUCUUUAGUUUUAUGUGAUGGAUUACAUUUAUAGAUUUGUGUAUGUUGAACCAGCCUUGCAUCCCAGGGAUGAAGCUGACUUUUCAAAUUACACACACAUAUAUAUAUAUAUAUAUAUGUAAUGUGGGGUUCCUCUUUGUCAUCCAGGCUGGAAUGCUGUGGUCCAAUCAUAGCACACUGCAGCCUCAACCUUCUGGGCUUAAGCAGCCCUCCUGCUUCAGCCACCUGAGUAGCUGAGACUAAAGUCACACUCCCACCCCUGGCUAUUUUUUUUUAAUUAAAAAAAAUUUUUAGAGAUGAGGUCUUGCUAUGUUUCCUAGGCUGGUCUUGAACUUCUGUGCUCAAGGAAUCCUCCUGCCUCAGCCUCCUAAAGUGUUGUGAUUACAGGCGUGAGCCACUGCACCCAGCCCAUUGUCAGUACUCUUAAUUUUAAUUAUUUUAGUGUGAGGUGAGGGCUUAUUUGCAUUUUCCUCUUGCCUAGUGAUGGGGAGCCUCUGACCACACAUAGAUUUCCUAAGUGAGGUGUCUGCUCACAUAUUUUCCCAUCUUUCUAAGUUAGGCUGUUUGUUUUCUUAUUGAGUUUCGAGAAUUUUUAAAAUAUACAUUCAGAUACAAUGCCUUUAUCAUAUAUGCAGGCCUUCAUCAGCAAAUAUUUUCUCUCCGUGUGUGGGUUUUGAUUUUCUUAAUAGUGUCUCCUCGAAAAACAAAAGGUUUUCCUUUUUAUCAAGUCCAGUCUAUCAUUUUCUGCUUUUCUGAGUCAUUUCUGGUAUUCUAGCAACAACUUACUUUUCAACCCAAGGUCCUUAAGUUUUUUUCCUCAUGUUUUCUUCUGGAAGUUUUAUAGUUUUAGCUUCUGCAUUUAGUUUAUGAUUCAUUUUAAGGUUAAGUUUUGCAUAUGAUGGAAGGUGAGGGUUGAAGUGUUUUUAUGCACACGAUUCUUCACUUGUUCCAGCACCAUUUGAAGAGACUAUCUUUUCCCUACUGCAUUAUCUUGGCAUCUCUGUAAAAAUCAAUUAAUCAUAUAUGCAUAGUCUAUUUCUGGAAAAUUUUGUUCCACUGAUACGUAUGAUGCCCUGUGCCAGUACUGUACUGUCUUUAUUUUUGUAGAUUUUUAGUUGCUUAUUACUAGAAAUAGCUAUCAUAUAGAAGUGGUGGGUUUAAAAACUGCUCUGCUCUGGAUGUCAAGCACACCAAAAACAUUGCUAACUAGAAGAGAUUAAUAAGAAGCAGACAAGAAUCUUCUGAGUGGGGAAUCUAUAGCCUGACUCCCCCUGCAGCUUCCUGAGCAGAAAUCAGGGGUACCCUAGCCUGGGGGAGAAGGACUGUGGUCACCUGCACCAUAGCAAGAAGCUCUGUUUGGAGCAGAGCCUGGUGUGGCCAUGGGUUGGGUGCUGGGGAAGACCCUGGAGAGCUGUGUUCCCUGAAGGGUUUGAACCAAGGGGAAGACAUGCUCCAUGUGCUUCUUUCUGCCAUGGAAUUGGUGGGAGAUUAGAAUUGUCAUGAGCUGCAAGGCAGGCUUUCCCCUGCACAUGUUCAUAGAAUGAGCCCUCCUGCUCUCAGCCUCUGGUGUUCAUUUCCAAGUAACUGGCUAGAGGCAGUGGACAGUAAAUCAGUAGUUCAUCUUGUAAGAACCUGGUGUGAUUAGCUUGGGGCUGUAGUGAGGAGGGAGAUCCUUCUGGGCUGCUGAUACACUUGACUCAAAUGACAUCCCAGAGUAACACUGUUCAGUUCUCUUCAAGCCAUUUCUGAGUAUCCAGAGCUUCCUUUACGGGAGAGCAUGUUGGGGGAUGGAGCAUGUUCAGCGAAUGGCACAGCUACAAGUUCAGUUGGCCGGAACAAAGGACCAGUGGGGCAAGGCUGUGGUGCCCACUCUGGGUGUGGACAGUCCUGCAGGAGAGUUGAUGUGUUUCCUACUGAGCUUUGCUCUGCUGACUUGCUGGUGGCAUUGUGGGCACCAGUGUCAGUACUGGGAAAAUAAUCCAUGUAUGUCCCAUGGAGCAGGUUGGUACAUGGAGCAAACCGCAGCAGACCUGUAGAAGAGGGGCUUGACUGUUAAAACAACAACAAAAAAACCCCACAAAACCCUAAGAAACAGAAAGCAACAACCAUCAACAAAAAAGACCACUCCACCAAAAAAAAAACCCAAAAAAACAAAACAAAAGAAAACGAAAGGUUGUCAGCCUCAAAGAGCAAAGGUAGGUAAAUCCACACAGAUGAGGAAAAACCAGCCUAAAAAUGCAGAAAAUUCCAAAUUCCAGGAUGCCUCUUCUCUUCCAAAUGACUGCAACAGCUCUCCAGCAAGGGCACAGAACUGAGUGUAGAAUGAGCUGGAUGAAUUGACAGAAGCAGGGUUAAGAAGGUGGGUAAUAACAAACUCCACUGAGCUAAAGGAGUAUGUUCUAAUCCAGUUCAAAGAAGCUAAGAAUCCUGAAAAAGGUUACAAGAGCUGCCAAGUAGAAUAACAAGUUUAGAGGGGAACAUAAAUGACCUGAUGAAGCUGAAAAACACAGCAUGAGAACUUUGUGAAACAGACACAAGUAUCAGUAGUCGAACUGAUCAAACAGAAGAAAGGAUAUCAGAGUUUGAAGACCUCUGAAAUAAGGCAUGUGGACAAGAUUAGAGCAAAAAGAAUGAAAAGGGGUGAACAAAACCUCUGAGAAAUAUGGGACUAUAUAAAAAGACCAAACCUAUGAUUGAUUGGAGUACCUAAAAAUGACGGGGACAGUGAAACCAAGUUGGAAAAUACACUUCAGGAUGUUAUCUAGGAGAACUUCCCCAAUCUAGCAAGACAAGCCAACAUUCAAAUUCAGGAAAUAUGGAGAACACCACUAAGACACUCCUCGAGAACAGCAACCUCAAGACACAUAAUUGUCAGAUUUUUCAAGGUUGAAACGAAGGAAAAAAUGUUAAGGGCAGUCAGAGAGAAAGGUCAGGUCACCUACAAAGGGAAGCCCAUUAGACUAAUAGCAGAUCUCUCAGCAGAAACGCCACAAGCAAGAAGAAAGUGGGGACCAAUAUUCAACAUUCUUAAAGAAAAACAUUUUCAACCCGGAAAUUUAUAUCUAGCCAAACUAAGCAUCGUAAACGAAGGAGAAAUAAAAUCCUCUCCAGACAAACAAAUCCUAAGGGAUUUCAACACCACCAGGCCUGCCUUGCAAAAGCUCCUGGAGGAAGCACUAAAUAUGGCAAGGAAAAGCUGGUUCAAGCCACUGCAAAAACACACCCAAAUAUAACAAUGACACUAUGAAGAAACCGCAUCAACUAACAUGCAAAAUGACGAGCUAGCAUCAUGAUGAAAGGAUGAAAUUCACACAUAACACUGUUAGUCUUCAAUGUAAAUGGGCUAAAGCCCCAAUUAAAAGACAUAGACUGGCAGAUUGGAUAAAGUGUCAAGACGCAUCAGUGUGCUGUAUUCAGGAGACCGAUCUUACCUGCAAAGACACACAUAGGCUCAAAAUAAAGGGAUAGAGAAAAAUUUACUGAGCAAAUGGAAGAAAAAAAAAAGCAGGGGUUGCAAUCAUAGUCCCUGAUAAAACAGACUUUAAACCAACAAAAAUAAAAAAUGACAAAGAAGGGCAUUACAUACUGGUAAAGGGAUCAAUUCAACAAGAAGAGCUAAUAUCCUAAAUAUAUAUACACUCAAUACAGGAGCACCCAGAUUUAUAAAACAAGUUCUUAGAGACCUACAGAGACUUAGACUCUCAUACAAUAAUAUUGGGAGAUUUAGACAGUUCGAUGAGACAAAAAACUAACAAGGAUAUUCAGGACUUAAACUCAGCUCUGGAUUAAGUGGACCUAAUAGACACCUACAGAACUUUCCACCCAAAAUCAACAGAGUAUAAAUUCUUCUCAGUGCCAUAUGGCAGUUAUUCUAAAAUUGACCACAUAAUUAAAAGUAAAACAUUCCUCAGCACGUUUCUCAUGACCACAGUGCAAUGAAAUUAGAACACAGGAUUAAGAAACUCACUCAAAACCACACAACUACAUUGAACAACCUGUUUCUGAAUGACUCCUGGGUAAAUAAUGUAAUUAAGGCAGAUAUCAAGAAGUGCUUUGAAACCAAUAAGAACAAAGAGACAACAUACAAGCAUCUCUGGGACACAGCUAAAGCAACAUUAAGAGGGGAAUUUAUAGUACUAAAUGCCCAUACCAGAAAGCUGGAAAUAUCUCAAAUCAACACCCUAACAUCACAAUUACAAGAACUAGAGAAGCAAGAGCAAAAAAAUUUAAAAGCUAUCAGAAGACGAGAAAUAACUAAGAUCAGAGCAGAACUGAAAGAGCUAGAGACACGAAAAACCCUUCAAAAAAAUCCAUUAACACAGGAACUGUUUUUUUGGGAAAAAAAUUGAUAGACCACUAGCUAGACUAAUGAAGAAAAAAAAGAGAAGAAUCAUAUAGACAAAAUACAAAAUGAUAAAGGGGAUGUUACCACUGACCCCACAGAAAUACAAACUGCCAUCAGAGAAUACUAUAAACACCCCCAUGUAAAUAAACUAAAAAAUCUAGAAGAAAUGGAUGAAUUCCUGGACACAUACACCCUUCCAAGACUAAACCAGGAAGAAUUGGAAUCCCUGAAUAGAGCAAUAACAAGUUCUGAAAUUGAGGCAAUAAUUAACAGCCUAACAGCUGAAAAAAGCCCAGGACCAGAUGGAUUAACAGCCGAAUUCUGCCAGAGGUACAAAGAGGUGCUGGUACCAUUUCUUCUUUAAUGAUUCCAAACAACUGGAAAGGAGGGACUUCUCCCUAACUCAUUUUAUGAAGCCAGCAUCAUCCUAAUACCAAAACCUGACAGAGACACAAGAAGAAAAGAAAACUUCAGGCCAAUAUCCCUGAUAAGCAUCAAUGUGAAAAAUCCUCAAACCAAAUCCAGCAGCAUAUCAAACAGCUUAUCCAACACAACCAAGUCGGCUUCAUCCCUGGGAUGCAAACCUGGUUCAACAUAUGCAAAUCAAUAAAUGCAAUCCAUCACAUAACCAGAACCAAUGACAAAAACCACAUGAUUAUCUCAAUAGAUGUAGAAAAGGCCUAUGAUAAAAUUCAACAUCCCUUCGUGUUAAAAGCUCUCAAUAAACUAGGUAUUGAUGGAACAUAUUUCAAAAUAAUAAGAGCUAUUUAUGACAAAUCCAUAGCCAAUAACAAAAGGAACAGGCAAAAUCUGUUAGCAUUCCCUUUGAAAACCGGUGCAAGAGGAUGCCUUCUCUCACCACUCCUGUAUAACAUAGCAUUGGAAGUUCUGGACAGGGCAGUCAAGCAAGAGAAGAAAUAAAGGGUAUUCAAAUAGGAAGAGAGGAAGUCAAAUUGUCUCUGUUUGGAGAUGACAUGAUUCUAUAUUUAGAAAACCUUGUCAUCUCAGCCCAAAAACUCUAAGCUGAUAAGCAACUUCAGCAAAGUCUCAGGAUAUGAAAUCAAUGUGCAAACAUCACAAGCAUUCCUAUACACCAACAAUCGACAAACGAGAGCCAAAUCAUGAAUGGACUCCCACUCACAAUUGAUACAAAGAGAAUAAAACACCUAGGAAUACAGUUAACAAGGACACAAUGGACCUCUUCAAGGAGUGCUAUAAACCACUGCUCGAGGAAAUAAGAGAAGACACAGACAAAUGGAAAAGCAUUCCAUCCUCAUGAAUAGGAAUAAUCAACAUCUUGAAAGUGGUCAUACUGCCCAAAGUAAUUUAUAGAUUCAGUGCUAUUCUCGUCAAACUGCCACUUACAUUCUUCACAGAAUUAGAAAAAAAUACUUCAAAUUUCAUAUGGAACAAAAAAGAGCCCAUAUCACCAAGACAAUUCUAAGCAAAAAGAACAAAGCUGGAGGCAUCAUACUACCUGACUUCAAACUAUACUACAAGGCUACAGUAACAAAAACAGCAUGGUACUGGUACCAAAACAGACAUAUAUACCAAUGGAGAAGAACAAAGACCUCAAAAAUAAUACCUCACAUCUACACCAUCUAAUCUUUGACAAACCUGACAAAAACAAGCAAUUGGGAAAGGAUUCCCUGUUUAAUAAAUGAUGCUGGGAAAACUGGCUAGCCAUGUGCAGAAAACUGAAACUGGAUCCCUUCCUUACGCUUUAUAGAAAAAUUAAGAUAGAUUAAAGACUUAAAUUUAAAAUCCCAAACCAUAAAAACCCUAGAAUAAAACCUCGGCAAUACCAUUUAGGACAUAGGCAUGGGCAAAGACCUCGUGACAAAACACCAAAAGCAGUUGCAGCAAAAGCCAAAAGAGACAAACAGUGUCUAAUGAAAUUAAAGAGCUCUGCACAGCAAAAGAAACUGUCAUCAGAGUGAACAGGCAACCUACAGAAUGGGAGAAAAUCCGGUCUGCCAUUAGCGGCCAUUUGCACUGGUUCCAUGUCUUUGCUAUUUUAAAUAGUGCUGCAGUAAACAUACGUGUGCAUGUGUCUUUCUAGCAGAAUGAUUUAUAUUCCUUUGGGUAUAUACCCAGUAAUGGGGUAGCUGGGUUGAAUGAUAUUUCUGAUUCUAGUUCCUUGAGGAAUCGCCACAGUGUCCUCCACAGUGGUUGAACUAAUUUACAUUCCCACCAACAAUGUAAAAACAUUCCUAUUUCUCCAUAACUUCAUCAGCAUGUAUUGUUUCCUGACUUUUUAAUAAUCGCCAUUCUGACUGGUGUGAGAUGAUAUCUCAUUGUGGUUUUGAUUUGCAUUUCUCUGAUGAUCGGUGAUAUUGAGCUUUUUCUAUACAUUUGUUGGCUGCAUAAAUGUCUUCUUUUGAGUGUCUGUUCAUAUCCUUUGCCCAUUUUUUUGAUGGGGUUUUUUUUUUUCUUGUGAAUUUAUUUCAGUUCCUUGUAGAUUCUGGAUAUUAAACCUUUGUCAGAUGGAUAGAUGGCAACAUUUUUCUCCCAUUCUGUAGAGAGGGGCCAACAUGGGCUGAUGCAGCUUCAGACAGUUCGGAAAUUCCCCCCACGUGAGGGGAGGUACACCUGAGACAGGCAUGGGCAUCCUCCUCCUUCCCCUGUUUGGUGGUACCCCGGUGACUGUGGGGAUCAGCCUUUCUGUUCAAAUAACAGCAGAAACUGUCUUGUCAUCUUAUGAGCUUCCAGAAAAGUCCCUUGCCUUUUGUCCAAAAAGAGAGGUUUCCUGAGUCCUUUUGGGCUCUGACCUUAAACCUUGGGGAGUGGAGAGUCUACUUGGAAUGAAGGACCCUCCCUGGGAUUCUGAGCAGUUAAGAAGCCACUGAGCUCAGAGCAGCGCAGCUCAGGGUGGGGCCAGUGCUUUCCACAAAGCCCCCCCAAACUCCAGAUGUUGAAACUCCGCGGCCUGUGGGACAGAACUGAGACUACGGGAGGCCUUUAAGUGGUGAUGAUUAAGUCGUGAGGGCUCCUCCCUGGUGAAGGCUCCAGCCCAGCGUUCAGCUCUCACGCUUCACCUCUAACCUGUGAGGCUGCAGUGCUCAUUCCCUCUAGGGACCAUGCCUGUCCCACGUGCACCUCCCCUCACGCGGGGCAGUUUCUGAAAUGUCUGAAGCUGCAUCAGCUCACGCUGGCCCUCUGUGGUUGAUACAGACAGAGGAGUCCUCCCCGGGCAGAUGCUGGGGGGAGGACUCAUGGGCAAGGAUUUAUUCGGGCAGGGACACUGGCCAGGGUCAUCGAUGUCCCCAGACCCCACAGCCCACUGGCAGCUGGCCACAGAUUGACAGCUGGUUCAGUGGCCUCUUUGUGCAAUGUGGCAUUUGUGGGCUGCGGUCAGUGCUUCUGGCUGGAGCCAGAAGGGAUGGAGGAGGAAGCAGGGGGUGGCCAGGCUGGAUGGGCUCCAGAGUGGAACUUACACCAACGACCAUUGGCCAUUGAGACAGGACACUGGGUUUCACAUUCCUGAGCUGGUCAGUUGAUCAUUAGUCUUGAGUGCCCAGGGUAGUGAUGGGGGCUGUGGUCUCCCAGGCUCUUCUGCGGACGUGUGUGUGAAGGGGCUCUGGCAGCCGGAGUCAUCUUUGAAGGCAUUUGCGGGUAGGAGCUGCUGGGAGCUAAGUGUGCAGUGGCUCUGGACUGGUCAGGAGGACCUGAGGAAAUUGGGCAGAUGAGCAGACAGCAUCGGGGCCUCUGUGGGGUGCCAAGUCUGCUCAGACAGCCAGAGCUGUCAGCUCACAGGCUGCAGCGGCCACAGACGCCACGGUGCACACAGACACCAUCAAACCAGCUGUUGAUCCGUGGCCCAUUGCCAGUAGGGUCUGCAUGUUGAUGUCCCUGGUACUGAGGGUCAUACUGCGUGCAGCGAUGUGCUCUUUGAAGACAGUGGCCCAGUUCAUUCCGUGACAGUCUACCAGGGUGGUUGUGUUGCUUCUAAUUUACUGAUGAGAAAAGUGAGACUCGGCAAAGUUCAUGAGCCCCAAAUUACCCAAAUUGUUGGCACGCGUGGGAGUGUGCAUUUGAACCAAAACUAUGUGACCCCAAAGCCCAUGAAUGUGGACUUAGGGAAAACACAGCUCAGCUAUGAAGUGUUUAAUUGCGAACUGGGGUCCAGAGAAUGGUGGGAAGCAGGGGCUGAGGACAGCCUUCUAGGCCCCAGUCCCAGGUUGGCCGUGGGGAAAUGCCCAGACGUCUUCAGUUGAAAUGCCAUCUUGAUUACAUCUCUGGCCCAGGCUUGGCCCAGGACUUCCCAUUCAUUCUUCAGCUGCAUGAGAGUGAAUUGUUUUCCCAGCACAGCCGAGAGCUAUAGGGCUGUAAACCAGAGGCCUUGAGUCCUGGCUGGCAUCUGUCUGGCCUCCGCUGGCUGUGGGGCCUUGGGUGAGGCUUCCCCUUUUCCGAGCUUCAGUUUUCCAGCUGUUCUCCCAGGUUCCUUCUGGCUCCGAUGUUUGCCAGUUGUGAGCUGGGGGCUCUCAGAGCUUCCUGUCUCCUGCUUCUUCCCACACCACCUUGCUGGGUCCCAGCUGUCUGUCAUGGAAAGAAUAAGGGAAAGACCCGUGGCAUGGUUUCCCCUUGGGGGACACUGGGCAUCUUUUUUCUUUCUGUUUCUUUUUGUAAGUAGACCCUACUCAUUUAUUCAAAAUUAGCCGAUAUCAGUAAUACUGUUAAUUUAGAGAAUAUAGUUACAUAUACACAUGGUCUUUUCAUUUAUACAUUUAAAAAUAUUUAUAGUAUCUAAGGUAUUACAUCAGGCAUAGCAGAAAACUUGUUUGGAAAAAAUGUGUUACUUGUCAAGUUCAGCAGCACCAAGUUGAGGAGGUAAAAUACGUCAUAACAUAGAAUGUAAGUCAGCAGUAAAGGUCUAUGACUAUUUGGAAGAGAAUGAAGAGAAGGGAUCCUAGGAGGGGUUGCCAUGAUCUCUUUCUAACGGUCAUCCCUCCUCCUCAUUUGUCAAUGGACACAAGUUAAUGCCCAGUCACAAGAACAGCUCCCAAAGCUGGGUUGAUUAAUGCCUGUGUAUGUGUAUAUGUAUAUUUUAUAUAUAUACAUAAUUUUAACUUUUCGAUUCUGGUGGUAUGUGUGCAGGUUUGUUCCUGGGAAUAGUACACGAUGCUGAGGUUUGGGGUAUGAUUGAUUCUGUGAUCCAGGUACUGAGCAUAGUACCCAAAAGUUAGUUUUCCAGUUCUUGCUCCCCUAAUUCUCUCCCUGCUCAAUCAGUCCCCAGUGUUUAUUGUUGCCAUCUUUACACCCAUGGGCACCCAGUGUUUGGCUCCCAUUUAUAAGAAAGAACAUGCACUAAUUCACUUGGGACAACGGCCUCCAGCUGCAUCCCUGUUGCUACAAAGGACGUCAUUUUGCUUUUUUGUGGCUGUGUAGUAUUCCACGGCGUAUAUGUAUCGCAUUUUCUUUAUUCAAUCAUCCGUUGGUCACCUGGGUGGAUUCCACGUCUUUGCUGUUGUGAGCAGUGCUGGGAUGAUCACGUGAGUAUGUGUGUCUUUUUGGUAGAAUGACUUGUUUUCUUUUGGCUGUACACUCAGUAAUGGGAUUGCUGAGUCGAAUGGUAAUUCUGUUUCAUGCUGUUUGAGAAAUCUCCAAACUGCUCUUCACAGGGACUGAACCAAUGUACAUUCCCACCAGCAGCCUACAAGCACUCCCUUUCUCCACAGCCUCACCAGCAUUUUUUGUUUUUUGACUUUUUAAUGAUAGCCAUUCUGACUGGUGUGAGAUGGUAUCUCACUGUGGUUUUAAUUUAUUAAUUCUUGUAUUUUGAUUCUUGGAGAAAAUAAACAGGCACAGAGAUUUAGGUGGAUGGAGCUUUAAUAUUAAUAAAACAGGGAUUCUCCACCCCCCACUAAGCCAACCCAAACUGACAAACACUAGCUGUUAAACAAAACCAGCAGGACGAUUUCUCCAGCGGAGGCUCAUUUUUGCUUCCCCCUCCUAGACUCAUGUAAGAGACAAUGCAGAGGGCUCCGUGUGCUCCAGGAAGUGGCGGAGCCAGGUGGCAUUAGAUGAAUGGCAUCACUUCUGAGUGGGCAAGUGGCUUGCCGUGGGCUCCUGUGGCUGUAUCGAGUGUGAUUUCAAAAGGGAAAAAACCAACCAUUGUGUCUGUGGUCCCAGGAAGCAGGGCCGAGUGCCUGCCAAUGUUUGAUUUGAUUCUGCACAUAUGGUUCAGGUCACCUUGCUCAAACAAGGGCAGCGAGAGACACAUUUCCAAAGAAAAAGAGGAAUGUGUCUGGGGUGAGGACAGAACGACAGACGGGAGGGUAUGGAUGGAGUCAGACGUGGCAGAAAGAAACCACUGGAAGGCCACCUUGCUUAGGCAUUUCCUACAUGUUCUUUGGGUCCUAAUAUUUCACAGAAGUGCCGAAGAAGAGACCAAAGGUGAUGGGCUGGGGUGGGUCUGGGGAGAGUUUGCACUGGGCCCCAGGCACUUCCUGACCAGAGCAUUCACUGUAGACAGUUUACACAGGACACAUUCCUGCUUAUGAUUCUGUGUCCAUUACAAUAGAUAAGCUAUGUUGGCAUUUAUAUGUGCUGGGUUCGAUUGAAGGUGUUUUCAGUUAAAUACCUUAGAGCACAACUGAGCUCACUGAAUCCUCUCACUUUACAGCUGAGGAACAGGGGCAAAAUGAGGCUCAGCCCAGUCACUGAGGGGUCUCCAGGGAGUGGAAAACCCAGGCCUCGCCAACCCUAGUCCAGGCUUUUCUCUACCAAACCAAUUAUUUGACUGAAACAUGGUCAGUUCCCUUGAAGUGGGAGGCCAAGCAGGAUGACCUGCAAGGGUGGCAUGAGUGGGUGCUGAGCCUGGUCCCCUUGGGCCUUGGGGCUUAGCCAGGUUACGUGGUCCAAGGAUGGGUCUCUCAAGACUGACUCUUCCUGACUACAGAGUUUUGUCUUUUUCCUAAACUUCCCCUAAAUCGAACUCUGCUUGAUGUCUCUGUUUUUGAACUUUUAGCCUCUAUUUGUCCCCAACCCUUGAAAUAGCUGCUCUGCCUUUUCCACGCGGUCCUGAAGCUGGCAUUGUUAUCAUCAGUGCCUUCACACAGCACAUUACAGUUUGCAAAUGACUCUUACAGGAUGGCCCCAUCUGACGUUCAAAGCAGCUCCGUGAGAAAGACGAUUAUUUCCAUAAUGAAACGGCAUGGAAGCUGAAGCAUCCUGUUCAACUCAACCCUGCCCGUAUGUAGCAGAGGUGGGACGUGCAUUUGAAAUGUCUGACCCUGAGUUCCAUAUUCGUUCCAGCAGUCAGAGGCCUCACUGCAGUGGAAAUGGAGCUUCUCUUGGUUCAUUAUUCAGAAAAUAUCUAUUGAGCAUCUGCCCCGUGCUGGGAGCUGCUCCAGGCCUUGGGGAUACAGCAGAGAACCAGACAGACUCCCUGACUUCCAGGACCUAAGCAUUUGGGGGUUGGUGUUCAAAACUCCCAAGAGGAUGGCACGUUAUGUUACAGGCUGAGUAAUUCUGGAUGGUUAAAUCAUCUGUGAGUUCCAGCAUAACACUGUCCCCAAGAACGUUCUCCAGUAAGAGCACGAGUCUGCAUGUAAACUCAUUUCCAGGGUCUGAGGAGCGCUGUCAAAACGUACACACUGCUCAGGUCAGGAACACAGCGGUUGUGCUUGUUAGACAGGGAGAUGGCAUCCUGAUUGAGGCCAGUGAAAUAAAACACAGGUUUAAUUAUAGGAAUCCUGGAAUGUAUGACAGAACGCAAGUGUGGGAAUGUGGCUGGGCUUCAGCUAGAUGAGUCAAAACUGGAACCAGAGAUGGAAACCCCACUGGCUCUCUUUCUGUCUGUGUGUCUUCUCCUAUUUUAAUGUUGGCUCUAUUCUUCAGUCUCACUGAAGCCAGUUUUCUCCGUGUGGCAGGACGCUGCACUGAAGGUUGCACGUGUUACCUCUUGUGGCUUCAGUCUCCCAAACAACGGGACAACGCCUGGGGCAGGGCUGUUGACCCACUGUGGGCCUGUGCACACGUGCACACACCAUAGCUGGGGGGUGGUUAGUGGUACAGGGAUGGUUGCGGGGGAGGCCACUGUGAGGAACACACGUCUGGAUAGCCGUCUUGUAAGGCCAUCCAGGGUUCUCCACCUUGGCUACUGGAUGACCUCAGAAUCACAGAGAAGAAUUUGUCGAAGAGGCAUUCUAAAACCUCCAUUGGCCAGAGGUCCCAGGGACGGCCCAUCUCCCUGACCAGGGCUCGGGCAGAUGGCUGGUGGGCAACGGGGCAGUGGCUGUGGAUGAAAAGAUGGGGCAUUAUCCAAGGCAGUGCCCUUGUGCAGAGCCAGGCUUCUCCAGGAAGACAACCGGAGUCUAUGUGGUGUGAAUUGCCUUCUGUCUCCUGGAAUCCAGGAGAGGGAUGUUCUAGGGGGUUCCCAGCACAGAGCUUUCUCCCUUGGCUGUGUUUGUGUGUUUACUGGGAUGGCACGGAGAGUUGCUUCCUUGCCAUGGAGAGGCUGCCAACAUUGACGUUCUUCGUUUGUGAUGUUUUUGGGACUGUUGUGCAAAAAUAAAAUGCCAUUUUUUUCCAAUGUUUCUAAGAUGUACACAUUAAAAAAAACACAACUUCUCCAAGAUUGGAAUACACUGCAGAGUUGACGGCACGUCACAGCUCUCCUGCCAAGGGUGUCUGUUGUCCUCAGUACAUAGAACAGUGGUCUUAUAUCAACGGUGUCUUAAAUUCAAUGAAGUGUGAUCAUUGUAGAGGCAAAUUCCCUUGAAAACAGUGACGGCAAGUCAUGGCAGAAUGCGCCAGCCUGCCAACCUUAGAUCAUGAGAUUCCGGAAACAUGAUUACGUGUUGAGUUCAUUUGAGCAGGAAGCUCGAGGUUAGCCACCUGGGAAACACGGACUCCAAAGGAACGGGCUCAGCGCUCCACAAGCUGGGAGUUAGGGCUUCACUUACAUAAGCUUAGGGGUUCCAGCAUCUUCCAUGCAAGGUCUGCGCAUAUGUUGUAGGGAUUUGAUCGGAGGCAGCUUGCUACAUUCUAAGAAUAUUGCUUUAACAUUCCACGAGCAGCAUUGACCAUCUGAGGGGCUCCUAGCUCUGGUGCCACAAAGUCUUUCCAAAUCACUUACAGGAAAAAGCAGGAGCCACAGCUGCGUGCUGUGUGGCUCAGGCCACAAAGCCACGUUACUGUCAGGGAUCAGAACAAUCGAAAGUUCCAGCACAUUUAGGUUUUAAUUAUUUAAUUUCACAAACCUUAUGGAUAAACAAAGGAACGUCUCAUCUUCUUGGCAGCAAGGGUGGGUUUUAUGGCUGAGCCAAAUGGGCUUCUGAGUCGAAGGAGAAUCCGCCGGAAGUGGGGAACGCACACUAGUCUCUGGAAACCGAACGUCGGGAAAUGAAUGAGCCCUGAAGAGCAGAUGGGCUACGUGUGAAGAGCAGUUCCUCUCUGUUGUUUUACUAAAUGCUGGAAUCAGCUUUAAAUCAGUUUUAAAAAGCCGCUGUGCCUUUCCAUUUUAAAGCGGCUCCUAAAGGAAAGGCCGCCUCCGUUGUGUGGGAUGUGCUGAGGAACUUCUGGCUAACAAUAGACGGUGCAUUACUUGACCCUCAGAGUGACUUGGGUGCAAAGUGACUAAAAAUGUUAAUUCAAAUUGGCUUAAAUGGGGAAAAAACUGUUAUCUCACAUGAAAAGAAGCCAGUAGUCCAGAUUCCAGAAGUCCUCAUUAAACUAUUGACUUUCCUCUUGCCUUUCCCAGUUAGUCCUAAUUAAACUAUCUUAAUUUUUCUUAAGGGAAAACAAAAGAAAAGCUACUCUGUCUUUUGUCUGGAAGGAGGCGAUUACCUGAAUCUCUGCCCUGGGGCUUCACCAUGCGGCCAAGGGGUCUUUCUGACCUGCACUUGAGUGACGGGCCCUUGGCCCCAGGCAGACCUCCCUGGGCUGUAGCCCUCACUGUCGGUGAUGGCAACCACCAGAGAAAGAGAAGGAAUUCUUGUUCCCGGUUGAUACGGCUUGGAUCUCUGUCCCCACCCAAAUCUCCUGUCACAUUGUCGUCCCCAGUGCUGAGGUGGGCCUGGUGGGAGGUGACUGGAUCACGUGGGAGGAUUUCCCUCUCUGCACUGCUCUCCUACGGUGAGAUCUGGUUGUUUAAAGUGUGUGGCACCCCGCCACUCCCCACUGCUCCGGCCGUGUAAGGCAUGCUUGCUUCCCCUUUGCCUUGUAACAUGAUUGAAAGUUUCCUGAGGCCUCCCAGAAGCCUCCUGUGCAGCCUGCAGAACCACGAGCCAAUUAAACCUCUUUAUCAACUA